RNAcentral lists this non-coding RNA (782 nucleotides) under Auzata chinensis. Lineage: Eukaryota; Metazoa; Arthropoda; Insecta; Lepidoptera; Drepanidae. The record is from RNAcentral.
AAUAAAUUUUUUAUGGUUUUAAGAAUUUAUUUUAAGUUUAUUUUACAUAUAAAUUUUAGUGUUAAUUUUUAAUUAUUUUAAUAAUAAUUAAUUAAUUUGGUAGUAAUUAAUAUUAAAAAUUUAAGAAAUUAAGAUUUAGUAAUAUACAAAUUUAUAACUAAUUUUGUGCCAGCAGUUGCGGUUAAACAAAAAUUAAAUUAAAUUUUAUUAGUGAUUAAUUAAUAAUUAAGAUAUUAAUAAUUAAAAUUUUAAAUUAUUAGGUGAAAUUUUAAUUUAAUUAAAAUUUAUUUUUAAAUUGUGAAUUUAAUAAAUUUUAAUUUAUAAACUAGGAUUAGAUACCCUAUUAUUAAAAAUUUAAAUUAAAAUACUAAAAUAGUAAAUAAUUAUUUAUUGAAACUUAAAUAAUUUGGCGGUAUAUUAGUUCAUUUAGAGGAAUCUGUUUAAUAAUUGAUAGUCCACGAUUAAAUUUACUUAAAAUAUUAAUUUGUAUAUCGUUGUUAAAAAAAUAUUUUUUGAUAAUUUAAUAAUAUUUAAAAAUUUAAAAAAUAAAUUAAAUCAAAUCAAGAUGCAGUUUAUAUUUAAGAAUAUAAUGGAUUACAAUAAAUUUAUUUAAAUAGAUAUUAAUUUUUAAUAAUUAAUUGAAAGUGGAUUUAAAUGUAAUUUUAUUUAGUUUAAUAAAAUGAUUAAUAAUUAAUAUAUGUACAUAUUGCCCGUCACUUUCAUUUAUAAAUUGAAAUAAGUCGUAACAAAGUAGAGGUACUGGAAAGUGUUUCUAGAAAGAU